GUGUCAGCAGCCGCGGUAAUACGGAGGGCGCAAGCGUUGUUCGGAAUCACUGGGCGUAAAGCGCGUGCAGGCGGCUUGGUAAGUCGGGUGUGAAAUCCCGGAGCUCAACUCCGGAACUGCACCCGAUACUGCCUCGCUAGAGUCCCGGAGAGGAUGGCGGAAUUUCCGGUGUAGAGGUGAAAUUCGUAGAUAUCGGAAGGAACACCAGCGGCGAAGGCGGCCAUCUGGACGGUGACUGACGCUCAGACGCGAAAGCGUGGGGAGCAAACAGGAUUAGAUACCCUCGUAGUCC
RNAcentral lists this ribosomal RNA (292 nucleotides) under uncultured bacterium. RNAcentral's name for it is "partial 16S ribosomal RNA". It matches the Rfam family "Bacterial small subunit ribosomal RNA", at positions 505 to 796 of the family's 1533-position model. The record is from RNAcentral.